This is a long non-coding RNA of Cyprinus carpio carpio, 473 nucleotides long. Lineage: Eukaryota; Metazoa; Chordata; Actinopteri; Cypriniformes; Cyprinidae. The record is from Ensembl.
AAAAUGACAUUCACCAGGAGGCAGGAGAUGACCAGGGUUCUGGUGGAGCACCUGAAGCAAUUUGCCGUCCCAUACAACAGUCCAGAUUGCAGAAAGGACAUCGGAAACGAUGCUGAGUGGCUUGACAUCAACUUGGGUCUAUUCUCCACGGUGGCCAAUUACUCAGACCUCAAGGAGCUGAACAUCAGUGGGCUGGCAGCUUUGGAAUCCCUGUCACCUGACCAGAAAGCAGAGCUGCUGUUGGAUCCGUCCCACCGGUGCUCUUGAAAAUGUGACCGUGUUGAAGGAGGUGUUGAGCAGCAUCCUAAAAGCCCCAGAUGAGGAGCAGCUAGAGAAAUUCUUUGAAACGUUUGUGGAGGUCAGCAAGGAGGAAAACAUCACCUACAUCACAAACGCGGAAGUCCGGGACGCAAUACUGAACCUGACUUUGACGGCUCUGGCUCCCAAAUUCCCUCUCUUCCAAACCAGUGACU